AAAAACGCUUAUGCAAAUAAGCUACGAAAACAACUCAAGGUGAGAAGCGCUUAUGCAAAUAAGCUACGAAAACAAAUCAUGGGUUCGCGUUCACAAUAACAACAAUCACGCUUCAUAUCAGAGCAUCGCGCUCAUCACUAUAGCUCAUGGAUUCGUGUUCUUGGAUUUAUUUCGAAAUCAAUCAUGGAAGUUCGUAAAACCGAGGCGAGACUCAGAUCGAAACGAGAAAUGACUCACCGAAUUUCCAAGAACAGGGUUUGAAUAGGUAUCUUUGGUGUUACAAGAAGUUACUCUGCGAAGUUCCUUUUGUGCUCAGAAAUUGGAGUGGCCUUUUUGAUGCUAGAAUUUGUUAACAGUGCAGUGAAGAUUGAAGCAUUGGUUUCGGUUUUCUCACAGCCUUGUUGGUGUACUCGGUUUUGGGUGGCUCGUGAUUUCAGUUUGGAUGUGUGAGGAUGGUGUAACAUUGAUUAGAAGACGUGUUGCCGUAACUUCCGAAUUGAAAAGUGUAUGGUCUGGGUCCAAUACAAGGCACAACUUCCUAGCAGCAAACAUUCCGUUCUAUUCUUCAAGCCUCUUAGUUCUCUCUUUGAAUAACAACUUUCUACUUCUUAUCAUAACCUUCAAAACUAGCUCAACAUCAGCCCAUGUAUCCUGGGGUCGAGAAAAACCUUAUGCGCAUACUUCAGGAGCUGAUUCUACGCCAUCUUUCAUAUUCUGAGGGAGAGGUACAACAAAUUUCUGCUCAGUUCUAUCUGCAGAAUAAACAUUCUGAGUAACAGGGAGUGAAUUGAUGGUUCAUGGGGAACAGACAAAACAUCUGCAGUGUUGUGAUUUAGCACCAAACGGAGAAGCCCAUUUAAUGUUGUUAAAUCAAUCUUCUCGACAAUUCAGACUUGGUCUGUAGCAUACUUCACAAAUUGUUUAUAUCACUUAUAAACCAAAACGGUGAUGGCUCCGAAUCUGCGGGCUCUAUCCAGUUGGGAAAGAGAUAACUAUUGUUGCCACAGACAUUGAUCAAGAUGGGCAUCAGUAAACUUCUCAAGAGGCUCAAUUUCGUACACCAGAGUCAAGUGGCUAUAAAUCCAUAAACUCUAAUACAACCUUUGGAAGCAUGUUGGGUGAUGAAAUUUGUUUAGAUGCACGACGCCAAGGAUCUUGUGAACCAUUUGUGAAUACUAUUUUGGAACCAGCAACUUUUGUGCCUCCAUAGUAUAAAUUAGUUGCAUCAACAUCAGGAUAUAUGCCCUUUCCAAAGACAUUUUUGCAAAGGUCCAAAUGGUAUCUCGUGUCAACUUUGUGGGAGCGUAUA
This is a long non-coding RNA of Lathyrus oleraceus (garden pea), 1309 nucleotides long. RefSeq lists it as uncharacterized. The transcript has 3 exons. The record is from RefSeq and is a predicted model, not a curated record. Lineage: Eukaryota; Viridiplantae; Streptophyta; Magnoliopsida; Fabales; Fabaceae.